UACAGAGGUCCCGAGCGUUGUUCGGAUUCACUGGGCGUAAAGGGUGCGUAGGUGGCCUGACAAGUUUGAUGUGAAAGCUCAGGGCUUAACCCUGAAAUGGCAUUGAAUACUGUCGGGCUGGAGGGUUGGAGGGGGGACUGGAAUUCUUGGUGUAGCAGUGAAAUGCGUAGAUAUCAAGAGGAACACCAGUGGCGAAGGCGAGUCCCUGGACAACACCUGACACUGAGGCACGAAAGCUAGGGGAGCAAACAGG
RNAcentral lists this ribosomal RNA (253 nucleotides) under uncultured bacterium. RNAcentral's name for it is "partial 16S ribosomal RNA". It matches the Rfam family "Bacterial small subunit ribosomal RNA", at positions 524 to 776 of the family's 1533-position model. The record is from RNAcentral.